This 1573-nucleotide ribosomal RNA is filed under the name Paenibacillus polymyxa. RNAcentral describes it as "bacterial LSU rRNA". It matches the Rfam family "Bacterial large subunit ribosomal RNA", at positions 591 to 2160 of the family's 2925-position model. Lineage: Bacteria; Bacillati; Bacillota; Bacilli; Caryophanales; Paenibacillaceae. The record is from RNAcentral.
GGGUGAUGGCGUGCCUUUUGUAGAAUGAACCGGCGAGUUACGUUCCCGUGCAAGGUUAAGGUGAAGAGCUGAAGCCGCAGCGAAAGCGAGUCUGAAUAGGGCGACUUGAGUACGUGGACGUAGACCCGAAACCGGGUGAUCUACCCCUGUCCAGGGUGAAGGUGCGGUAACACGCACUGGAGGCCCGAACCCACGCAUGUUGAAAAAUGCGGGGAUGAGGUGGGGGUAGCGGAGAAAUUCCAAUCGAACCCGGAGAUAGCUGGUUCUCCCCGAAAUAGCUUUAGGGCUAGCCUCGGAAAGAAGAAUCGUGGAGGUAGAGCACUGAUUGGGUGCGGGGCCCGCAAGGGUUACCAAGCUCAGUCAAACUCCGAAUGCCAUAGAUUUAGUUCCGGGAGUCAGACAGUGAGUGCUAAGAUCCAUUGUCGAAAGGGAAACAGCCCAGACCAUCAGCUAAGGUCCCCAAGUGUGUGUUAAGUGGGAAAGGAUGUGGAGUUGCACAGACAACCAGGAUGUUGGCUUAGAAGCAGCCACCAUUGAAAGAGUGCGUAAUAGCUCACUGGUCGAGUGACUCUGCGCCGAAAAUGUAACGGGGCUAAACACACCACCGAAGCUAUGGCUUGAUGCUUGCAUCAGGGGUAGGGGAGCGUUGAAUGCGGGUUGAAGGUGUACCGGAAGGAGCGCUGGACUGCAUUCAAGUGAGAAUGCCGGUAUGAGUAACGAAAAGAUCUGUGAGAAUCAGAUCCGCCGAAAGCCUAAGGGUUCCUGAGGAAGGUUCGUCCGCUCAGGGUAAGUCGGGACCUAAGGCGAGGCCGAUAGGCGUAGUCGAAGGACAACAGGUCGAAAUUCCUGUACCACCGUAAUCCGCUAUGAGCGAUGGGGUGACGCAGUAGGGUAGUGACGCGGACUGAUGGAUGUCCGUCUAAGCAGUGAGGCUGAUGUGUAGGCAAAUCCGCACAUCGUAAGGCUGGGCUGUGAUGGGGAGCGAAAAUUAUAGUAGCGAAGGUCAUGAUCUCAGACUGCCAAGAAAAGCCUCUAGCCAGGAGAAGGUGCCCGUACCGCAAACCGACACAGGUAGGCGAGAAGAGAAUUCUAAGGCGCGCGGAAGAACUCUCGUUAAGGAACUCGGCAAAAUGACCCCGUAACUUCGGGAGAAGGGGUGCCUCGGUAGGGUGAAUAGCCCGAGGGGGCCGCAGUGAAAAGGCCCAAGCGACUGUUUAGCAAAAACACAGGUCUGUGCGAAGCCGCAAGGCGAAGUAUACGGGCUGACGCCUGCCCGGUGCUGGAAGGUUAAGGGGAGUGGUAAGCCUUCGGGCGAAGCUAUGAACCGAAGCCCCAGUAAACGGCGGCCGUAACUAUAACGGUCCUAAGGUAGCGAAAUUCCUUGUCAGGUAAAUUCUGACCCGCACGAAUGGCGUAACGACUUGGGCGCUGUCUCAACGAGAGAUCCGGUGAAAUUUUAAUACCUGUGAAGAUGCAGGUUACCCGCGACAAGACGGAAAGACCCCAUGGAGCUUUACUGCAGCUUGAUAUUGAAUUUGGGUACGAUCUGUACAGGAUAGGUGGGAGCCGUAGA